CCACUCUGACUCUCUAAUGGACCAAUUUUAUUCCUCGUUAUCCUUUUGCUAUUAAUAUAGCUGUAGAAACCCUUUGGAUUUACUUUCACCUUACUUGCCAAAGCAACCUCGUAUAUUCUUUUAGCUUUUCAAAUUUCUUUCUCAAGAUUCUUUUUAGAUUCUUUAUACUUGGCCUCUACCACAUCAGUUGCA
Molecule: long non-coding RNA, 192 nt
Organism: Amblyraja radiata (thorny skate)
Lineage: Eukaryota; Metazoa; Chordata; Chondrichthyes; Rajiformes; Rajidae
Exons: 3
Source: RefSeq, a predicted model, not a curated record